UUGACCUCAAAUCAGGKAGGGAAC
Molecule: ribosomal RNA, 24 nt
Filed under: Coriolopsis trogii
Lineage: Eukaryota; Fungi; Basidiomycota; Agaricomycetes; Polyporales; Polyporaceae
Description: partial 26S ribosomal RNA
Source: RNAcentral